This 4685-nucleotide long non-coding RNA is filed under the name Homo sapiens (human). Its description in RNAcentral is "long independently transcribed non-coding RNA 2840, transcript variant 6 (LINC02840)". The record is from RNAcentral. Lineage: Eukaryota; Metazoa; Chordata; Mammalia; Primates; Hominidae.
GGGUUCGCGCCAUUUUCCUGCCUCAGCCUCCCGAGUAGCUGGGACUAUAGGCACCCGCCACCACGCCCGGCUAAUUUUUUGUAUUCACAGUACAGACGGGGUUUCACCGUGUUAGCCAGGAUGGUUUCGAUCUCCUGACCUCGUGAUCCGCCCGCCUCUGCCUCCCAAAGUGCUGGGAUUACAGGCGUGAGCCACCGCGCCCGGUGGAAAGGACACUUUUUUACAGUAUGAGCACUGAAACAAAAAGGCAAAGCAAGGUCUGUUCACCUUCAGCUGAGAACGUGAGGAUUGGUUCAGGAGUACAUGCGCAGGUUUGUCAUAUAAGCAAAUUAUGUGGCACAGAAGUUUGGUGUAUGGAUUAUUUCAUCACCCAGGCCGUUUCUCAGCGUUGGAUGUGCAAGCAGUUUUGAGAGAUGAAGUCAUGACUUCAAGACAAAAAAACAGGUUUGCUUAUUUUGCUACAAACCAAUAAGUUCUUCAGCCAUGCUGCAAAUCCACUGUGUAUCCAGUUCCCAUCUGCGGCCCGCACAUCAUCCCCAUGGGACUUGAGAGCAAGAGGAUCCCACGCAAAUCAUGUUGCUUGCUAUGCUGUUUGGAGAUGCGGACUGGCUUCCUUGUUCCUCAGCUUGCAGAUGGCCUACUGUGCGAUUUCACCUGGUGAUCAUCCUGCUGCCUGGAAUGCAUAUGUGAUGGCUGGAAUGCUAGCUCUAAUUUUGGAUCAUGAGGAAAAGUGCCACACCAUUGGAGAUGAGGGAUGAGCUGGAAGGGGUCCUGUGGCAGGGGAUCAUGUCCUGGGACAUACCAAGAGAGCAGCUUCUAGAGGACUGAUUAUCAGAGAGGAACUGGAAUGUGAAAAGACGUCUAACUAACCAUUAUUAAUGAUUCACUUGUAAUUUUCACUAAUGGAUGACCCACAUGAUUUCCUCUUCAAAGAAUUUGUCCAAAGCCACCCAUUUAAAAAAGAAAAGAAUGGAGGAUGGAAUCUCAUAAGUGAUCUUACCAUUUACAAAGCACAGUGUGAUUAAUCAAUUCUCCUUUAUAUUUUAGUGCCUACCGUGUUUCUUAAUUUGAUGGAGAAGCCUUCUUAUAAACACUCUUAGAAAAGCUAUAUGUAAUUAACUUUCUUCUUUGAGCAAAGGGACUUGUUUCUCUGAGAUGUCUAUAAAAGAUAAAGAGUUGAUGUGGGCCACACUCCUGCCUCUGCUUUCUCUUAGAGGUCUAAGGGUAAUUAGUGGACAAAAGCAGUCAAUUAAGCAGGUAUCUUCCCAGACACCAUGUCCACUCUUGAUGACUGUUGAAAACCUUAGAUAACCCCAUCAGGAACUGAGGUAAGGCCAUGAAUUGCCUUUAGUUUGAGCAUGGGUGAAUUUAAUCUCCUUAACCUAGUUAGGGAUUGGAAUCUGGCUCACCUUCAGGUUUUAUGAAUAAAGUUUUAUUGGAACACAGUCACUCCUAUUCGUUUUACAUCUAACUGUGGCUGCUUUUGUGCUACCAUAGCAGAGUUAAGUCACUCUAACAGAAAAUAGAUGGCUCACAAAGCCAAACAUAUUUUACUCCAUAGCCCUUUAAAAUCUGCUAACCUUUGAUAUGGUGACAGCAUGAAAUUUCUUUAAGCACUUGCCCAGUAUUAUAGAUUUUUUAUGAGCGAAUGUGAAUAUUAAUGUAAUGUAACUCAGGAAAGAAAUAUGUCUUGAACCCACAUUUAUAUAAAAUCAAUUUUGAUAGCAAGCUUAUUACUUCACAAAGAAAAAAAGUCUAUCCAUGUUUUUUCUGCUCAAAAAAAAUGUUGGCAGAGAAUGCUAUUAGAGUCAUAUAGGUAAAACAAACUUACAGGUAAAACAAGCUAAAUUUAACUUUUGCUCUAUGAAGUUUGCCAUGUUUCAAGGAAUAUAGUUAGACCCAGAAUGCCUUGAUAUUUUCAUAGUAAUGGGCCAUGCUCUAAUUUGGUGCUAUUUCCCUAUACUUAAUUGAGGAGCUAACAGUCAAUUGUGAGACUAAACCUUCAAUUAAUAAAAGCAGCAUGGGUCGAUCCUCAAAAGGAAAGCCCAUUUUUCUUGUCAGUGUGAGUCAGCCUCCUCUGUUUUUUUAUCUUGAUACAAAGGUAGAAAUAACCCCAAGUAAGCCAGGAACACUAUUCAGAUCUCAAAACGUUUGCUUAUUGUGAGUGCUCUCUUUUACAAGAUCAAAAAAAUUUCAUGAAUCAUUCUAAGCUGUUUACUGGGUUGGGGUCCACUGUUGUAGAAGUGUCUGUCUUGGAUGAGGUCUCAUGAUGAGAAACUAUUUAACCCUAAGAUGUUUCUUACUAAGUGACUCUUAGCUACUUAUAUAAUCAGAGACAGCCAUAAGAAUACAGAAGGAAUGCACGAAUAUACCCACCACUGGGAAGUUGUCAUCAGCUUUGCUCCAAAGGUCUUUUUCAUCAUUUUUCUAACUCUUCUGGAAAGUCGGGAGAUUCUCCCUCACUGCUGCAGACCAGAAAAACAUUGUACAUAUUAAGGCUCUCAGAUGAGAAAGGGUCUAAAGAAACUAUUAUGACAUAAUGAAUGUGCUGUUCUCUGUGCUCUGAAAGUGUAUGGGGAGGCUAAACAAUUAUCUUUGAGGUUUGUUAGUACCUAUGAAUUAUUCAUCAAUCUUAGAGUUUCUAAAAUUAUUCUCACAGAAUUAUCAUCUAGUGGGCAAAGAGGUCAUCUUGUCUGAUCACACCCAAACAGAAUUAUCCUUAAUACUCAUCACUUAAACAAAAACAAUUGGAAUAAAAAGACAGAACACUACACUGUUUAUGUAUUGUGUCCAAUAUUUACACACCAUAGAGAGAUAUAGAUUUUACAGAAUCUAAAUAUACAAAAUACCUAAUGGUUUAAUUUGAUUAAAUAACAGUAGUGAAUAUGCACACGAAGUGAGUUCCAUGUGUUACCAAAUUGCAAUUGACUAUGCUUUACAUGUUUUAAAAAUCAUCACUUUUGAUGAAACUUGCUCUUAGAUUCAGACUAGAUGUCUGUAUAGUCAUCAUUUUUAACACUGGCAGCAUAGUAAAGUCAACUGGGGAACUCUUAAAAGAAAUGUAUGUCUAGGGCCACACCACCGAAGACACCGAUUUCCUGGCAAUUGGUUUGGGAGAAGGCCCAGACAUCUGUAUUUUUAAAGUUCUGCGGGGUAGUCUAAUGUCAGCCAAGGUUGAAAAUCACUGCUUCACGUAGUAUAGCUAGAUAAGUGAGAUAGAGAGGUCUCCAUGUGCAGCUUCUAUUUUGAAAGUCAGUCAUGAUUCCUCAUUUUAGCAAGUUCUCUUUUUCUUUACCUCCUCUUUCCAUUCAGAAUUGAGUUCAAAUAUUUCUUUACAGCCAUUUGUUUUCUAAGGCGGGUAUAGUUGUCAGUGAAGACUGCAUCUGAGUGACGUUUGACUGGUACAGGGUCUUCUGAGAUGUUACUGCUAAGGAACAUGAGGAAAAGGAAAUCAAAGAGUUUUCACAAGAAAUGAUAAAUACACACAUGUUCCAGGUUUCUUGGAGCCACAUAAAAAGCAAUUCCCACCCAACUAAUUUUCUAUCAUAAAAAGACUAAAAGAAAAAUACAACUAAACCUAAGGAUGAAGGAAAGCAAGGAAUCAUCUGCCAUAUUUUGGCAUGGCCUGGGACUGUUUUAUGACACAUUCUGUACAGCUGAGCAAAUAAUUCAUCCAAAAAUAAAAAUUUGGGAAUAGCUGAAGUUGUGCUCUGCCAUUGGGAGAAAUUUUUUUUUUUUUUAAAAAAAACAUAAUUACUUCUUUAGAAGCUAUGCUACCCUGAGCAACGUCAUCUAAAUAUUUGACUGUUGGCCAUUUGGAAUUCUCCAUUUAAUUUGAGCAGGAAGUAAAAAGAAUAUUCUGUUUGACCUUAAAAUUUACCUCAGUCUGUACUAUCUCUUUUUGAUUGUUUUACUGAGUCUUGUUCAAUUUGAUUGCAGAUUGCUAAAUGAUUGCUACUUGAGAAAAAUGUGUGUCUGGAGUCAAUGAAUAUGAUAUUAUGAAAAAGUCUUAGUCCAUGGGCUUGAUAGAUGUUAUUGAAGAAUACAAGUUAUUUCAUUUAACUAAAUUAAACAUUAUCAACGAGUUUUCAAUUUCAAACAAAGUAAAUAACUUGUUAAGAGUGAAAAUACAAUAUUCAGAUUGAAUAAUGAUAACAUAUUUUAUAAAAAUAAUAAAUUCUCUUUACCUAACACGUUUUCCCAUAAGAGACUCAAGGUACUUUUUGGCAGAAAGUUGACCCAAGAGUUUACUGAAGUCACUGGUGAAAACUCCAUCAGCAUGCCUGGCAUUUCUAAAACAAGGAAGAAAAAAAUAGCUAUUAUUUUGUAAAUGGCUUUCUAGAAUAUUAUUAUGGCUUAUUAAAUAACAAAAAAAUUAUGGGCUUAUUAUGAAAGCUUCUCAUUAAAACUAAAGUUCAAAAGGAGAUUUCUUAACACCCUAACAAAAGAGAUCUUCUAGUCACUUAUAUCAAGAUAUACCCUAUAUUUCUAGCCCAAGACACUGAAAAAUUAAAGAAACAGGCAUUUCUAGGAGCACAUUUCAAUAUUCCUCCAUGGUUGAAUCUUUAUAACUAUUUCUUUCUAAGAAAUAUUGGUGUAAAAAUAUGAUCUAUUUAAAUUAGCUGCUAUUUGUACAUGGUGCUUUGUGUCUGCCCCACUGAAUAAAGACAUUCACAAUGGGAAAA